RNAcentral lists this long non-coding RNA (520 nucleotides) under Populus trichocarpa (black cottonwood). RNAcentral's name for it is "long non-coding RNA (PTRI_LNC001195)". The record is from RNAcentral. Lineage: Eukaryota; Viridiplantae; Streptophyta; Magnoliopsida; Malpighiales; Salicaceae.
ACACUUUGUCCAGCCAUUUUCAAUCAUGUACUCAGAAACUGUUGGAAGAAGAGUGUACCAUGGCAUAGCCUUCAUAGCAACAUAUAUUUGUAAGAGCAUGGCUCUGUUUGAAGGUAUGGUAUCUGCAAGAGAUCAAAAAAAGGUGUAAUCUUAGGCCUGACAAGUAAACUGGCAAAUCAUCAUCUCAAGUGAAUGAUACUAGAGUCUAAAUGAAAUUCAAACACUACCUUACAUAAGAAAACUCCACCAAUAAAUCAAUCAGCAACUUUUAAAAGUCAUGCUUGCUGAUUGAAAUGGUGGAUCAAUCUUAUUAAAUAGGCAUAUACGCAUGCUGUGAGAAAAUAAGAAAAAAAGUUGUAAUUUCUCAGCAAAUAGGAACAGAGAAAAAAAAAAACAUAAAAAGCGGUAACUUCUCUACACAUCAUAACUUCUGUUGUCAUAAUCAUGAAGUAAUGUUAUGUUACAUGGCAUUCGGGCUUCAGGACAUCACUUGGCUUUUUGAAACUCAAAAAAAAAAAAA